RNAcentral lists this ribosomal RNA (453 nucleotides) under uncultured bacterium. Its description in RNAcentral is "bacterial SSU rRNA". It matches the Rfam family "Bacterial small subunit ribosomal RNA", at positions 340 to 786 of the family's 1533-position model. The record is from RNAcentral.
UACGGGAGGCAGCAGUGGGGAAUAUUGCACAAUGGGCGCAAGCCUGAUGCAGCCAUGCCGCGUGUAUGAAAAAGGCCUUCGGGUUGUAAAGUACUUUCAGUCGUGAGGAAGGUGUUAAGGUUAAUAACCUUAGCAAUUGACGUUAGCGACAGAAGAAGCACCGGCUAACUCCGUGCCAGCAGCCGCGGUAAUACGGAGGGUGCGAGCGUUAAUCGGAAUUACUGGGCGUAAAGGGCACGCAGGCGGUUAAUUAAGUUGGAUGUGAAAUCCCCGGGCUUAACCUGGGAAUGGCAUUCAAGACUGGUUAGCUAGAGUCUUGUAGAGGGGGUAGAAUUCCAUGUGUAGCGGUGAAAUGCGUAGAGAUGUGGAGGAAUCCGGUGGCGAAGGCGGCCCCUGGACAAAGACUGACGCUCAUGUGCGAAAGCGUGGGGAGCGAAACAGGGAUUAGAUACC